RNAcentral lists this long non-coding RNA (1594 nucleotides) under Linum usitatissimum (flax). RNAcentral's name for it is "long non-coding RNA (LUSI_LNC004529)". The record is from RNAcentral. Lineage: Eukaryota; Viridiplantae; Streptophyta; Magnoliopsida; Malpighiales; Linaceae.
UCAUGCGAGUCUCGAUCUGUAAAUCUAGGGUUUGACUUUUCGUUUAUAUGGUGUUUCUCUGAGUUUUUAUUGCUUUUAUUGUGGCUUCUAUUUUAAUGGAGUUGGGGAUCGGUGUGAAGGAAGAAGAAGUAGAUAAAAACAAAGGAAACAAAAGGGUUGGUCGCCGACGUUUGACCUGACGGCCGAAGAGGAAGAGGACACAGGGAUGGCUGAGAGGAGGUAAAACUUUGUUUUAACUUUUAGUUAAUUUAUUUCAAAAAAUAGAAAUGAAAAAAGACUAGACUUUAUAAUCUUAUUUAAGGUGAACGAAGAAAGAAGACUUAGAUUUGACCCACUGGAGGAGAUCGAUCGAAAAAAAAAACGAAGAAGAGGAAAGACACUCUUAGGAAAGGUAAAACACUUAAAAUCUAAAUAUUCUAGUUUUCCAUGGUAGAAACUGUUUUGUUAUUAAGGUUAAAAUAUGUAGAUUGAAAGUGAAAUUUUGAAUGUCCUAUUAUUGAACCGAAUUUAGUAAUCUAAACACCAUAAAAAUGACUUAUUUGUUUGAAUGAUUUGAUCAUUUUUUACAUUUAAUAAAAUUCCAGUAAUCAUUAUUAGAAGAAAAUGCUCAUGUUUUGCUUGAUUGUAGUGCCACAAGUUCAAUCCUUGUAUGGUAAUUGAGUUUUGAUGCAAUCAUAAUAAAGGAACACAGAGAUACGAGUGGUAUAUGAAUAUUUGAAAAAUCGAAAAGAUGUUUUGUUUAGGAGGACCAACUUUUGAAAGCUGACUUUGUUCUUCUUUUGCAGUGUGGAUCACCCCUUGGCUGCUGGCUCUAGAAACAUAGGAAUUUGGAAGCUUUGAGUCCCCAAAGUUUCGGCUAGAAGCGCUUUGUAUUUUUCUGUUUAUUUUUGUCCAUUUUCUUUUGUAGUGGGAUUGUGUGUAAUAGGAUUGGGGUGUAGUGGGAAUGGGGUUUAGUGAGAUUGGGUAGAGCUCUUUUGUUGUCAUCGGUAGAUCCGUUCUUCUUCGUUUUAUCUCCUCCCUUUCGCGAAAAAAAUGGUGGUCUUUUUAAACGAAAAUAAGGGCUGCCACCACACUUGUCUUCCAACCGGAUUUUGACAUCCAUUACUAACACAAAGGGAGGUGGCCUGUCCCUGUUGACUAAUAAAAACGGGCCCAAAUUGAGUCUGAAAUCGGGCAUGAAAUUUGGUAUAAAAUCGAUCCCGAAAAUUUGAUGUAAAAUAGAGCUACAAAAUAAUAAAAACUCGAGGACCUGAAAUUUUUUUUGUUACUACAUCAUCAGUGGUGACUUGCUAUAAAUCAUUACAAGCAUCAAACUCGUAAGAAGGCAUAGAUUUUGCUGAAUCGCUUCUACUCCUUUGGGGAAGCGAAGCAGGUUCUUCAAACAGAGGGUAUUGACGAGUACCAUCGGAUUGUUCUAGUAUGUAGUGAUAGGAUUGUCGAUUCAUGAUGAUUGAUUAUGUGUUUUUCUAUCUUGUUGCCUUGAUUGUCCCUUUUCCUUUCGAUUCACAGUUUCCUCAAUUUUCCAAUUUUUUUAUUUUCUUGUGAGAUUGAUUGCUGAGUUGAUUGUUGAGCGGAUGUUUAUGAGCGUUGCGAG